Molecule: ribosomal RNA, 484 nt
Filed under: uncultured bacterium
Lineage: Bacteria
Description: partial 16S ribosomal RNA
Rfam family: Bacterial small subunit ribosomal RNA
Source: RNAcentral
AUUGAACGCUGGCGGCAUGCUUUACACAUGCAAGUCGAACGGCAGCGCGGGCUUCGGCCUGGCGGCGAGUGGCGAACGGGUGAGUAAUACAUCGGAACGUGCCCAGUAGUGGGGGAUAGCUCGGCGAAAGCCGGAUUAAUACCGCAUACGACCUGAGGGUGAAAGCGGGGGAUCUUCGGACCUCGCGCUAUUGGAGCGGCCGAUGACAGAUUAGCUAGUUGGUGGGGUAAAGGCCUACCAAGGCGACGAUCUGUAGCUGGUCUGAGAGGACGACCAGCCACACUGGGGCUGAGACACGGCCCAGACUCCUACGGGAGGCAGCAGUGGGGAAUUUUGGACAAUGGGCGAAAGCCUGAUCCAGCAAUGCCGCGUGUGUGAUGAAGGCCUUCGGGUUGUAAAGCACUUUUGGCGGGAACGAAAAGGACUGUGCCAAUACCACGGUUCGAUGACGGUACCCGCAGAAUAAGCACCGGCUAACUACGUG